UGUGGGACCCCCCCAAAAAUGCCCACUGUGUGUAUGGGGGACCCCAAAAACCCCAUUAAAUGUAUGGGGGACCCCAAAACCCCAUUGUCUGUAUGGGGACCCCAAAAACCCCAUUGUCUGUAUGGGGACCCCAAAAACCCCAUUGUGUGUAUGGGGGACCCCAAUAACCCCAUUGUGUGUAUGGAGGAACCCAAUAAACCCUAUUGUGUGUAUGGGGGACCCCAAUAACCCCAUUAAAUGUAUGGGGACCCCAAUAAAUCCCAUUGUCUGUGUGGGGACCCCAAAAACCCCAUUGUGUGUAUGGGGACCCCAAUAAAUCCCAUUGUGUGUAUGGGGACCCCAAAAACCCCAUUAAAUGUAUGGGGGACCCCAAAAACCCCAUUGUCUGUGUGGGGACCCCAAAAACCCCAUUAAGUGUAUAUGGGGGACCCCAAUAAACCCUAUUGUGUGUAUGGGGGACCCCAAUAAAUCCCAUUGUGUGUAUGGGGGACCCCAAUAAACCCUAUUAAUGUAUGGGGACCCCAAAAACCC
This 531-nucleotide long non-coding RNA is filed under the name Gallus gallus (chicken). The record is from RNAcentral. Lineage: Eukaryota; Metazoa; Chordata; Aves; Galliformes; Phasianidae.